Gymnogyps californianus (California condor) is the source of this 845-nucleotide long non-coding RNA. RefSeq lists it as uncharacterized. The record is from RefSeq and is a predicted model, not a curated record. NCBI's taxonomy places the organism in Eukaryota, Metazoa, Chordata, Aves, Accipitriformes, Cathartidae. The transcript is spliced from 3 exons.
UGUUUUUGGGCUGCUUUGUGCAAACUUUCACCUUCAUUCUAGUGCAACGCAAGGUUAAGCUUUUGCUGCCUGUAAGGAGCAUAGCUGGGUACGAAGACGGCAAGAGAGAGCAGAGGAAGAUGGGAGGAUGUGACCUGUCCAGAGUAACUUUACUGGAGCCCGGAAUUUUGUGAAUGUUGAAGAUCGACUGAAAAAGAGCAUAAGAAGUCUUCAGCCAGAGCCUUUAAACUCCUGGAUAUAAAUUGUCUGGAUUGCUGGUUAAAGAUUCUGAUUGUAAGAGAUGGUGUUUAACAUCCUUAUCAAUUAAUUAUUACUGGAAAAUGAAGUAUUUAAUCAGCAUUGAUCUGUUGUAAGGCUACAUCACUGGCAUUAGCUGAAACACAGAACAGAAGUGUUUAUUGAACAUAGUUGUCUUUCUUGCAGUAUUAUUGACAAUGUUAUCAUUUCCAUAGUGGUAAUGGACCAGUAGCUGUUGGUUAGAUACUCUUUGUUACAAUACACUUUAUAAACUUCAUUUUAUUGUCCUUAGCUUUAUUGACCAUUGAUUUCUUCAGUUGUCCUUUUGCUUCCCUUAUUAAUUUUGUGUCAUUCCGGGGUUCUAGUGUAUUGAUGCCAACUUUCUCUCUUUUACAUUUGAUAUUUAUUGGCAUUUCCCCCUGUUUAUAACUACUUUCACUCCCCCAUCAUGCCACAAUGAGAUUGCUUCGUCAAGGUUUUAUUGCAAUUAUCAGCCUUGUGUUCUUCAUUAUGCUGCAUGUGAUAUACCCAAGUAAGAUUGCAAGGCUUCUGCCCUUCAGCACUAUGUUCAAUACAGCAUUGUGCUUAGGCCUCUAUUGGAUAUUCGA